UUGAUUUUAAUGGUUUGGUUGCUUGAAUUCGCAUAAUAGGUUGAUUAGGAAUAUGAAAGCUAACAACCUUACGAAAACAAUCAAUUUUUGCAUGAUGAGUAGUUAACCAAUCAAUCCCUAGAAUUACAUCAAAUGCAAGUAUUUUCAAUGAAAUAAGAUCGACAGGUAAUGUGUGGGUACCAACUUGAACCAAACAAGACUUAUAAACCGUGG
This 213-nucleotide long non-coding RNA is filed under the name Panax ginseng (ginseng). RNAcentral describes it as "long non-coding RNA (PGIN_LNC004283)". The record is from RNAcentral. Lineage: Eukaryota; Viridiplantae; Streptophyta; Magnoliopsida; Apiales; Araliaceae.